CCUAAAAUUAAAAAUAUAGAUUCCGUUAUUUUAAGAUUAUGUUAUUAGUAGUAGAAUUUGUAUAUCACAUAUGUUGUUGUUAUAUAUAUUAAUCUGUCUUUUAUCUGCAUUUUACCUCUGCUUUAUCUUGUUUCCUUCUAAUGAACCUGGAACUGCAGAGUAAAUAUUGUUGUCUCUGUGUCAGAUGGCUUGUUUUGUUCCUGGAUUCUUCAGUGAUGAUGAGCAGAGUCUGAGUGAACCUGCUGUCAGACAGGUUGGGCCGAUAGACGAUUCCAUCGUCCAUCGCCGAUGGCUGAUAGACAUCACGAUGCUGCGCCGGCAAACAGCUUCAUGAGCUCCAGUAUCUCGUGCGUGCAUCCGUUGUCAUGCAACAGAGAAGUUGCGUCUAUGGACAGUUGUGAACGAGCUGACAGCUGGUUGCCCAGGCUUUGGGUUAAAGGUGCCACCGGUAUUUGGUCCUGUUGUUUUUUUCUCAAAAACCAGCAGCCGCUGACUUGCAUUUAAGAAUCACCAAGGGCAACGGUUUCACCUAAAACACCUUUACUGUUCUACUGCAAAAACCUUGGAUGACCUGAGGAUCACUAUUGCACACCAAGUAAGCAAAACAACAUUUUUGAUUUCAUUUUAUUUUAUUUCUGCAAACAACUUGCAUCACUUGCAAUUGGUUUUCCAGCCCAAAACCUCGUCAAAAACUGAAUGCAAUGGUUUUUGUCUAUGAUUAUUUUGUCAAAGCAUCUUUUGUCUAUGGUAACUCUAAUCUACAUUAACUAUUUAAUUAGUAUCCAGUUAUUUAUAUUAAAUUUGUGGUGUUAACAACUACUUCUGAACUAAUAAAAUAAUAAACAUAAAUUUUUUUGAGUCAAUUGGCCUCAUACAUUUUCCUUAUGAAAGAGGUCACUGCAAGCUAAUCCUUUUUGCCUCCCUUUAAUUCGAAUACAUCCAUGAACAGGCAGUUUUGAAAAGUGCUUUGAAUAUAGGGGAAAUAUGAUCUAGCCUACAACACUACUGCUCCUACUGCACUACUGAAUUAGUUCAAGUAUAUGUUCUGUUUAACUUAAAUGCUAUAUUUUUUUUGCAUUGUGAUUUUAUCUUCUGUUUUAGAUACUUUUACUCAGCAGAUGGGGACAGCUACCAUCACCCAAUUUUCACCCAAAAGUGGCUGCGCUAUGCGCCAGACAGGGGCAGGAGGGACUGGGCGACAACUUAUGCAGGCAUCAGAUGACAGUGAAGUGUAAAUAAAGAGU
Molecule: long non-coding RNA, 1244 nt
Organism: Carassius gibelio (silver crucian carp)
Lineage: Eukaryota; Metazoa; Chordata; Actinopteri; Cypriniformes; Cyprinidae
Exons: 4
Source: RefSeq, a predicted model, not a curated record